RNAcentral lists this transfer RNA (63 nucleotides) under Crepidodera pluta. RNAcentral describes it as "tRNA-Phe". Lineage: Eukaryota; Metazoa; Arthropoda; Insecta; Coleoptera; Chrysomelidae. The record is from RNAcentral.
ACUUAAGUAGCUUAUAUAGAGUUUAAUAUUGAAGAUAUUAAGGAAGUAACAUACUCUUAAGUA